This 222-nucleotide unclassified non-coding RNA is filed under the name Hevea brasiliensis (rubber tree). Lineage: Eukaryota; Viridiplantae; Streptophyta; Magnoliopsida; Malpighiales; Euphorbiaceae. The record is from RNAcentral.
GGUGAAUAUCAUUUGGUGCAUUGACAUAAUGAGCCGUAGAAGGAAGAGAGAGCAUGGAUAACUGACUUGUAUAAUUGUUGAUAUUAGAAGUAGAAGAUGCACUUCCAUCAGCAAUACUACUAGUGUUGUUGACGUUCUUAAUAUCAUUCAUCUGCUCACCUCUAUCCCUAUUAAUAUUAUCUUCUGCACCCAACAUAAAUUUUACACGUGGGGUUCCCCUAU